UACAGAGGUGGCAAGCGUUGUUCGGAAUUACUGGGCGUAAAGGGCGCGUAGGCGGCCUUCUAAGUCAGACGUGAAAUCCCCCGGCUUAACCUGGGAACUGCGUCUGAUACUGGGAGGCUUGAGUAUGGGAGAGGGAUGUAGAAUUCCAGGUGUAGCGGUGAAAUGCGUAGAUAUCUGGAGGAAUACCGGUGGCGAAGGCGGCAUCCUGGACCAUUACUGACGCUGAGGCGCGAAAGCUAGGGGGGCAAACGGG
Molecule: ribosomal RNA, 253 nt
Filed under: uncultured bacterium
Lineage: Bacteria
Description: partial 16S ribosomal RNA
Rfam family: Bacterial small subunit ribosomal RNA
Source: RNAcentral